This 119-nucleotide ribosomal RNA is filed under the name Pteropus alecto (black flying fox). Lineage: Eukaryota; Metazoa; Chordata; Mammalia; Chiroptera; Pteropodidae. The record is from RNAcentral.
GUCUACGGCCAUGCCACCCUGAACGAGCCCGAUCUCGUCUGAUCUUGGAAGCUAAGCAGGGUCGGGCCUGGUUAGUACUUGGAUGGGAGACCACCUAGGAAGACCAGGUGCUAUAGGUG